This 1331-nucleotide long non-coding RNA is filed under the name Homo sapiens (human). RNAcentral's name for it is "HSALNT0368914". The record is from RNAcentral. Lineage: Eukaryota; Metazoa; Chordata; Mammalia; Primates; Hominidae.
GACGGAGGCUUUCUGUGUUGCCCAGGCUGGAGUGCAUUGGCAAGAUCUUGGCUUACUGCAACCUCUGUGUCCCGGUUCAAGCAAUUCUCCUGCCUCAGCCUCCCAAGUAGCUGGGAUUAUAGGCGAAGUCACUCUAUCACCCAGAUUGGAGUGCAGCGACGUGAUCUCGGCUCACUGCCACCUCUCCCUCCCGGGUUCAAGCGAUUCUCCUGCCUCAGCCUCCUGAGUAGCUGGGAUUACACGUGUGCACCACCACGCCCGGGAUCCACUCUUCUGGGAAAGGAUGAGGUUUCCUCUGCUGAAUGCAAUUGAUCUUUUCAGAGGAAAAAUAUAGUCACUGCCUUGGACUAAAACAGGAAUUUUCAACUGGAUUGAGGAUUUCUGGGGAAAGAAAACUAAAUCAAUGAUUGGCCCAGUCUGUCAGACUAUUGGUGUCAUUUGAUCCCACACUUGGCUCUCUCUAAAGAAGAAAAACCCUGCCCUGUGAGCUCUACUCCCUCCUCCUGCAGAAAAGGCAUCCUCCUAUCCAGAUGGAUCCUCAUCCGCCUGCCUGGUCUCUCUGACUUCACCUGCAAUAAGCCUUCCACCAUUCACUAUGCUCCAAAGACACUGGCAUUCAUUCUCUUCCUCCAGCAAAGCUGUCUUAGAAAACCUUUCUCUAUACAUGCUGUUCCUUUGCCUGAAAGCUCUGCCACCAAGUCUUUGGAUGACUGGCCAGAGGGUUCAGCUUAGCUGUCACCUCUCCAAAGAAGUCAUCCUUGAUGAUUCAUCCUAAAGUACCUGCCCACCUUCUUGACAACUCUCCAUUCCAUUAUUGUUUUACUUCUUUCAUAGAAUUUUUCACCAUUUGAGACUGUAUUUUUCUUUUAAUUCAUUUAUGUAUUUAUUGUUUGUCCCUCCACACAUUCUAAAAUGAAAACAUCAGAAGAACAAGGUCCUUCAACAGUGUUUACUGCUGGAUCUGCAGUGCCUAGAAGAGUAGCUGGCUCAUGGGAAGAGCUCAAUAAAUAUUUGUUGAAUAAAUGAAUGAAUGAAGUUGCUGCUUAGACUGUCUGUCCUUUUUAAGUUGGCAUUAUAAUAGUUGGCUUUAUUUGAGCCUCAUAUUAUGUGCAUACAUAUAAGAACCAGGAAGAGUAAAGGGACUCCUCUUACUAAACUAGCUACUAUUUAACGACUACAUAUCUUUGUACCUGAAAUAGAAGCCAGAAUUUCAGGACUUGAAGAACGUCAGGAAUCAUGAUGAUGAUGAUGAUCAUGAUGAUGAUGAUGACAAUGAUGACAAUGAUGAUGAUAGAUAACUGAAACCCAGAGGAGUGAAGUCACUAGUUCAA